Molecule: small RNA, 326 nt
Filed under: uncultured bacterium
Lineage: Bacteria
Description: bacterial SSU rRNA
Rfam family: Bacterial small subunit ribosomal RNA
Source: RNAcentral
GCUCCUUACACAUGCAAGUCACACGAGAAAGCGGGGGCAACCUCGUGAGUAAAGUGUUGUACCGGUGAGUAACACGUGGGUGAUCUACCUCUUAGUGGGGAAUAACGCUGGGAAACCGGCGCUAAUACCGCAUAAUCCCGGGAGGGGAAAGCAGCAAUGCGCUGAGAGAGGAGCCCGCGGCCGAUUAGCUAGUUGGCAGGGUAAAGGCCUACCAAGGCGAAGAUCGGUAGCCGGCCUGAGAGGGCACACGGCCACACUGGCACUGAAACACGGGCCAGACUCCUACGGGAGGCAGCAGUGGGACUCCUACGGGAGGCAGCAGUGGG